GACGAACGCUGGCGGCGGGCUUAACACAUGCAAGUCGAACGGAAAGGCCCUACUUUCGUGGUGUUCUCGAGUGGCGAUCGGGUAAGUAACACGUGAGUAACCUGCCCUUGACUUUGGGAUAACUUCAGGAAACUGGGGCUACUCUCGGAUCGCAGCUCCCGUUGCAUGGUGGGGGUGGGAAAUUUUCGGCUGGUGCGGAUGGACUCGCGGCUUAUGAGCUUGUUGGUGGGGUAGUGGUUUACCCAGGCAUUGACGGGUAGCCCGCCUGAGAGGGUGAACGGCCACCAUGGGACUGAGAGAGGGCGCAGAGGGCUACGGGAGGCAGCAGGGGGGAAUAUUGCACAAUGGGAGGAAGCCUGAGGAAGAAACGCCGCGUGCGGGAUGACGGCCUUCGGGUUGUAAAAAGCUUUCGCCUGUGACGAAGCGUGAGUGACGGUAAUGGGUAAAGAAGCACCGGCUAACUACGUG
RNAcentral lists this ribosomal RNA (468 nucleotides) under uncultured bacterium. RNAcentral's name for it is "partial 16S ribosomal RNA". It matches the Rfam family "Bacterial small subunit ribosomal RNA", at positions 28 to 507 of the family's 1533-position model. The record is from RNAcentral.